GUCUCUUCUCAGGAGCCCCCAUGGGAGACGUUGAGGUUUUGAUAUAAAGUCUGCCCACUGUCACCACUCUCUUUAAAAAGCUCUGUUAUUAUCAACUUAUCCCUUUUUUACCUCGAAGGGAAUCCACAUAACGUUUUGUUGUCUGUCUCUUGUGCGCACUCUGCGUGUUGAACACAACGUGUGCGCGUCCACUGGAGCUCACACCAGUGGAACAUCUGUGCUUUAGAUUUCCACAUCAUCACGCUCACCAGCACACCCCACGUCCACAAAGGUAACCUUGCAUAUAUAGGCCAGUAUUUAACUUGGAUCCACUAGUAUGCCUAAUGUAUCCAUCACGGUUUGGCUGUGCUUGUGCAACUUACUCAUUUCUUUGCAGGGCCAGUGAUGCAUAGCCUGUGUGUAAAACGUUGUGGGUUGUCGAAGUUAUCAAGUGGGAUUUGCGGCGCUCUCUGCAGGAACCUCCGGCUGCUAGAGUUCAAAGCCACAUGCACAGACGUGCCAUGCGAACCAUUAAAAUAUCUUCUUGGCUACUAGGCUAGUUUCUACAAGGCUUUUUCCAAGUCAGUCUUGGGAGACCAAGGGAAGAGGGCAAGUUUUGUUGUUCUCAACUUAACAAGUAGCUACACCUUCAACCUGAUCCGGCGUUUUAGGUAGCCCACUUCUCUGCUAUGCAAAAUUUGGAGGGAUCUUUCAACAGGUGGAAAACGGCCGUGGGUGCCAUGAAUGGUGACUGGGACACACUGUAAAGGGACAAGAGGGACUCUGGAUUCGACUGGCUCCCUGUGCAAAGAAAGGCAGUGAAGAGCAGCACAGACCAGCAGGUGGAGGUUCAAACGGGUCCCAGACCAGAGGCACCUCGGGAGGGAUCGGAUGGCUGCUGCCUUCAGGCCUGGCCAAAGUUUGACCCGCACUAAAAAACAGGCCUGUUCCAGACCAUUGCUGCUCUCCCCCUGCUAAAACAACACCAGGGAAAGUGUGCGUCAAUAUAGGCAAUAAUGAGGAGCUCAGUUGAUCAAAUUGCGGG
Molecule: long non-coding RNA, 1024 nt
Organism: Epinephelus fuscoguttatus (brown-marbled grouper)
Lineage: Eukaryota; Metazoa; Chordata; Actinopteri; Perciformes; Serranidae
Exons: 4
Source: RefSeq, a predicted model, not a curated record